AUAACAUCAAUCACAUGAUGCAACAUGAUAAACAACAAGAAGUUUUGAGCGGAACGUUAAAUUAAACUGAUAUAUCUACAUAUAACAACAUAAGGGUCCUGUAACGUUCCUCGAACAACUGAAGAACAGAACAGAAUCAUUACUUGGAAGACUGAACCUGGUCGAAAGGCUCUCCCGUUCAAAAUAAAGAUUUGGACCACUCCAACCUUCUAGCCUCACAAAAAUUGUGGAGGCAAGCAAAAGCGUCAUUACAAGUAAAACUCCUCACUUGACGAAUAUUUUCGUUGUUCCAAGGUAUAAAAGAGUGGUAUUUAACUUCAUCUAGAACUCUAAGAAUAUUUAUUUGGCAAUCUAUAAUAGAUAUAUGAAAAUGAAUACAGAGAGUACCUAAUUUAUUGAAAUUUUGAAAACAAAUCAAGAAGUGGCGGAUUUUAUUCCCAGAAGAUAAGCCAGAUAUACAAAAGCAUUCAAGAGCUCAGCAGCCUACAAAUAAUUUAUAAUUGGCCUUUUACGUAGGUUACUCUAUAAAAUAUUUGGAACAAAAUAUUCAAGGAGAAUAUUUUACAAAAGGGUUAGCACAGAUGAUUUGAUGUAUAUUUAGAGAAGGGAAUAAUGACCAACCUGUAAUAAAAUACUGCUAUGAGGAUUGUGAAACUCUGGAUCCAUAUGGAUUGCAUCUGGUAGACCAUUGUUCCAGGCCUUUAUUUCUACAGAGUUUGUAUGGGUAAUAAGAGAUGGAAUGAAUAUUUUCUCAAAAUGUAAAUACAUAAUAUUAUGUAAUUUAGUUGUAUUAAAUAUUCUUGAAAAGA
Molecule: long non-coding RNA, 809 nt
Organism: Coccinella septempunctata (seven-spotted ladybird)
Lineage: Eukaryota; Metazoa; Arthropoda; Insecta; Coleoptera; Coccinellidae
Exons: 2
Source: RefSeq, a predicted model, not a curated record